AUGCACCGAAGCUGCGGCAGCGACACUGUGUGUUGUUGGGUAGGGGAGCGUUCUGUAAGCCUGUGAAGGUGUACUGUAAGGUAUGCUGGAGGUAUCAGAAGUGCGAAUGCUGACAUAAGUAACGAUAAAGCGGGUGAAAAGCCCGCUCGCCGGAAGACCAAGGGUUCCUGUCCAACGUUAAUCGGGGCAGGGUGAGUCGACCCCUAAGGCGAGGCCGAAAGGCGUAGUCGAUGGGAAACAGGUUAAUAUUCCUGUACUUGGUGUUACUGCGAAGGGGGGACGGAGAAGGCUAUGUUGGCCGGGCGACGGUUGUCCCGGUUUAAGCGUGUAGGCUGGUUUUCCAGGCAAAUCCGGAAAAUCAAGGCUGAGGCGUGAUGACGAGGCACUACGGUGCUGAAGCAACAAAUGCCCUGCUUCCAGGAAAAGCCUCUAAGCAUCAGGUAACAUCAAAUCGUACCCCAAACCGACACAGGUGGUCAGGUAGAGAAUACCAAGGCGUUUGAGAGAACUCGGGUGAAGGAACUAGGCAAAAUGGUGCCGUAACUUCGGGAGAAGGCACGCUGAUAUGUAGGUGAAGUCCCUCGCGGAUGGAGCUGAAAUCAGUCGAAGAUACCAGCUGGCUGCAACUGUUUAUUAAAAACACAGCACUGUGCAAACACGAAAGUGGACGUAUACGGUGUGACGCCUGCCCGGUGCCGGAAGGUUAAUUGAUGGGGUCAGCGCAAGCGAAGCUCUUGAUCGAAGCCCCGGUAAACGGCGGCCGUAACUAUAACGGUCCUAAGGUAGCGAAAUUCCUUGUCGGGUAAGUUCCGACCUGCACGAAUGGCGUAAUGAUGGCCAGGCUGUCUCCACCCGAGACUCAGUGAAAUUGAACUCGCUGUGAAGAUGCAGUGUACCCGCGGCAAGACGGAAAGACCCCGUGAACCUUUACUAUAGCUUGACACUGAACAUUGAGCCUUGAUGUGUAGGAUAGGUGGGAGGCUUUGAAGUGUGGACGCCAGUCUGCAUGGAGCCGACCUUGAAAUACCACCCUUUAAUGUUUGAUGUUCUAACGUGGACCCGUGAUCCGGGUUGCGGACAGUGUCUGGUGGGUAGUUUGACUGGGGCGGUCUCCUCCUAAAGAGUAACGGAGGAGCACGAAGGUUGGCUAAUCCUGGUCGGACAUCAGGAGGUUAGUGCAAUGGCAUAAGCCAGCUUGACUGCGAGCGUGACGGCGCGAGCAGGUGCGAAAGCAGGUCAUAGUGAUCCGGUGGUUCUGAAUGGAAGGGCCAUCGCUCAACGGAUAAAAGGUACUCCGGGGAUAACAGGCUGAUACCGCCCAAGAGUUCAUAUCGACGGCGGUGUUUGGCACCUCGAUGUCGGCUCAUCACAUCCUGGGGCUGAAGUAGGUCCCAAGGGUAUGGCUGUUCGCCAUUUAAAGUGGUACGCGAGCUGGGUUUAGAACGUCGUGAGACAGUUCGGUCC
This 1464-nucleotide ribosomal RNA is filed under the name Escherichia coli. RNAcentral describes it as "partial 23S ribosomal RNA". It matches the Rfam family "Bacterial large subunit ribosomal RNA", at positions 1189 to 2637 of the family's 2925-position model. The record is from RNAcentral. Lineage: Bacteria; Pseudomonadati; Pseudomonadota; Gammaproteobacteria; Enterobacterales; Enterobacteriaceae.